AGUGAACGCUGGCGGUAGGCCUAACACAUGCAAGUCGAACGGCAGCACAGUAAGAGCUUGCUCUUACGGGUGGCGAGUGGCGGACGGGUGAGGAAUACAUCGGAAUCUACUUUUUCGUGGGGGAUAACGUAGGGAAACUUACGCUAAUACCGCAUACGACCUACGGGUGAAAGCAGGGGAUCUUCGGACCUUGCGCGAUUGAAUGAGCCGAUGUCGGAUUAGCUAGUUGGCGGAGUAAAGGCCCACCAAGGCGACGAUCCGUAGCUGGUCUGAGAGGAUGAUCAGCCACACUGGAACUGAGACACGGUCCAGACUCCUACGGGAGGCAGCAGUGGGGAAUAUUGGACAAUGGGCGCAAGCCUGAUCCAGCCAUACCGCGUGGGUGAAGAAGGCCUUCGGGUUGUAAAGCCCUUUUGUUGGGAAAGAAAAGCAGCAGGUUAAUACCCCGCUGUCCUGACGGUACCCAAAGAAUAAGCACCGGCUAACUUCGUG
This 492-nucleotide ribosomal RNA is filed under the name uncultured bacterium. Its description in RNAcentral is "partial 16S ribosomal RNA". It matches the Rfam family "Bacterial small subunit ribosomal RNA", at positions 29 to 507 of the family's 1533-position model. The record is from RNAcentral.